RNAcentral lists this ribosomal RNA (2323 nucleotides) under Escherichia coli. Its description in RNAcentral is "partial 23S ribosomal RNA". It matches the Rfam family "Bacterial large subunit ribosomal RNA", at positions 612 to 2915 of the family's 2925-position model. The record is from RNAcentral. Lineage: Bacteria; Pseudomonadati; Pseudomonadota; Gammaproteobacteria; Enterobacterales; Enterobacteriaceae.
AUAAUGGGUCAGCGACUUAUAUUCUGUAGCAAGGUUAACCGAAUAGGGGAGCCGAAGGGAAACCGAGUCUUAACUGGGCGUUAAGUUGCAGGGUAUAGACCCGAAACCCGGUGAUCUAGCCAUGGGCAGGUUGAAGGUUGGGUAACACUAACUGGAGGACCGAACCGACUAAUGUUGAAAAAUUAGCGGAUGACUUGUGGCUGGGGGUGAAAGGCCAAUCAAACCGGGAGAUAGCUGGUUCUCCCCGAAAGCUAUUUAGGUAGCGCCUCGUGAAUUCAUCUCCGGGGGUAGAGCACUGUUUCGGCAAGGGGGUCAUCCCGACUUACCAACCCGAUGCAAACUGCGAAUACCGGAGAAUGUUAUCACGGGAGACACACGGCGGGUGCUAACGUCCGUCGUGAAGAGGGAAACAACCCAGACCGCCAGCUAAGGUCCCAAAGUCAUGGUUAAGUGGGAAACGAUGUGGGAAGGCCCAGACAGCCAGGAUGUUGGCUUAGAAGCAGCCAUCAUUUAAAGAAAGCGUAAUAGCUCACUGGUCGAGUCGGCCUGCGCGGAAGAUGUAACGGGGCUAAACCAUGCACCGAAGCUGCGGCAGCGACGCUGAUGCGUUGUUGGGUAGGGGAGCGUUCUGUAAGCCUGCGAAGGUGUGCUGUGAGGCAUGCUGGAGGUAUCAGAAGUGCGAAUGCUGACAUAAGUAACGAUAAAGCGGGUGAAAAGCCCGCUCGCCGGAAGACCAAGGGUUCCUGUCCAACGUUAAUCGGGGCAGGGUGAGUCGACCCCUAAGGCGAGGCCGAAAGGCGUAGUCGAUGGGAAACAGGUUAAUAUUCCUGUACUUGGUGUUACUGCGAAGGGGGGACGGAGAAGGCUAUGUUGGCCGGGCGACGGUUGUCCCGGUUUAAGCGUGUAGGCUGGUUUUCCAGGCAAAUCCGGAAAAUCAAGGCUGAGGCGUGAUGACGAGGCACUACGGUGCUGAAGCAACAAAUGCCCUGCUUCCAGGAAAAGCCUCUAAGCAUCAGGUAACAUCAAAUCGUACCCCAAACCGACACAGGUGGUCAGGUAGAGAAUACCAAGGCGCUUGAGAGAACUCGGGUGAAGGAACUAGGCAAAAUGGUGCCGUAACUUCGGGAGAAGGCACGCUGAUAUGUAGGUGAAGCGACUUGCUCGUGGAGCUGAAAUCAGUCGAAGAUACCAGCUGGCUGCAACUGUUUAUUAAAAACACAGCACUGUGCAAACACGAAAGUGGACGUAUACGGUGUGACGCCUGCCCGGUGCCGGAAGGUUAAUUGAUGGGGUUAGCGCAAGCGAAGCUCUUGAUCGAAGCCCCGGUAAACGGCGGCCGUAACUAUAACGGUCCUAAGGUAGCGAAAUUCCUUGUCGGGUAAGUUCCGACCUGCACGAAUGGCGUAAUGAUGGCCAGGCUGUCUCCACCCGAGACUCAGUGAAAUUGAACUCGCUGUGAAGAUGCAGUGUACCCGCGGCAAGACGGAAAGACCCCGUGAACCUUUACUAUAGCUUGACACUGAACAUUGAGCCUUGAUGUGUAGGAUAGGUGGGAGGCUUUGAAGUGUGGACGCCAGUCUGCAUGGAGCCGACCUUGAAAUACCACCCUUUAAUGUUUGAUGUUCUAACGUUGACCCGUGAUCCGGGUUGCGGACAGUGUCUGGUGGGUAGUUUGACUGGGGCGGUCUCCUCCUAAAGAGUAACGGAGGAGCACGAAGGUUGGCUAAUCCUGGUCGGACAUCAGGAGGUUAGUGCAAUGGCAUAAGCCAGCUUGACUGCGAGCGUGACGGCGCGAGCAGGUGCGAAAGCAGGUCAUAGUGAUCCGGUGGUUCUGAAUGGAAGGGCCAUCGCUCAACGGAUAAAAGGUACUCCGGGGAUAACAGGCUGAUACCGCCCAAGAGUUCAUAUCGACGGCGGUGUUUGGCACCUCGAUGUCGGCUCAUCACAUCCUGGGGCUGAAGUAGGUCCCAAGGGUAUGGCUGUUCGCCAUUUAAAGUGGUACGCGAGCUGGGUUUAGAACGUCGUGAGACAGUUCGGUCCCUAUCUGCCGUGGGCGCUGGAGAACUGAGGGGGGCUGCUCCUAGUACGAGAGGACCGGAGUGGACGCAUCACUGGUGUUCGGGUUGUCAUGCCAAUGGCACUGCCCGGUAGCUAAAUGCGGAAGAGAUAAGUGCUGAAAGCAUCUAAGCACGAAACUUGCCCCGAGAUGAGUUCUCCCUGACUCCUUGAGAGUCCUGAAGGAACGUUGAAGACGACGACGUUGAUAGGCCGGGUGUGUAAGCGCAGCGAUGCGUUGAGCUAACCGGUACUAAUGAACCGUGAG